CUAGUACUCCCUCCGUCCGGAAAUACUCGUCGGAGAAAUACAUAAAAAUAAAUAUAUCUAAAGCUAAAAUACAUCUAGAUACAUCCAUUCCUCCGACAAGUAUUUCCGGACGGAGGGAGUACUUC
Triticum aestivum (bread wheat) is the source of this 125-nucleotide non-coding RNA. The record is from Rfam. NCBI's taxonomy places the organism in Eukaryota, Viridiplantae, Streptophyta, Magnoliopsida, Poales, Poaceae.